RNAcentral lists this long non-coding RNA (1285 nucleotides) under Ananas comosus (pineapple). RNAcentral describes it as "long non-coding RNA (ACOM_LNC018063)". Lineage: Eukaryota; Viridiplantae; Streptophyta; Magnoliopsida; Poales; Bromeliaceae. The record is from RNAcentral.
CUUGUUCUCCAAUAAUAAAAAACUAGUUAAGGGCCGCACGACGCGGCGAGAAGAUAUUAUUGCAGUAAAUUAUUAUCAUAUAUAUAUAUAUAUAUAUAUAUAUAUAGUUCAUCUAUUAUUCUAUUAAUAGGAUUGAGGACAUUAUCCUAUCAAGUCGUUUGAAUGAUCGGAACUUCAAAUUGAUAAUCGGCACUGUUGAAAUUGAUCUAUACAAUUAGAAAUGUUUAGAAACCAAAUUUUGUAAUAUUUAAAAAUCAUUAUCGAAUUCAUCUUAAGAGUUGAAAAAUGAACGGUCAUAAAUGAAUAACUUUCUUAAAAUAGAGAUUAGACUUUCUCAAUUCAUAAUCAGAGUUAUCAAACAUUAUCCGAAUAGUAUAAAAAAUUUUCUAUCAAAAAUUCAAGCAAUUUGGAUUGCUCUACACCGUUAAACAAGCAAACGGCUUAUAUAGGCCGUCAAAAAUUACCAAUUUUACGACACUUUGAUCACCAUGUAAAUAAUUUUUAAAAUUUAUGAAAUUUAGUUUCUAGAUAUUUCAGAUACUCUAGAUCAACUUCAACGGCUCCGAUUAUCGAUUCGAAAUCUCAAUCAUCAAGACCAAUUUGAUAGGAUAAGUGCUACUGUCCUCUUAAGUCUGUGUGUGUGUGUGUGUGUGUGUGUGUGUGUGUGUGUGUGUGUGUGUGUAUUUAUGAGUGAGGCUACUAUGCUUCUGGAAGCACGGAGCCAGGUCGUUUUCCAUGUUGUGACUUUCAUCGUCGAUCGGCUCCGUUAGACUUGAUCUAGAGUAUUUGAAGUACCUAGAAAAUAAAUUUUAUAAUUUUUCAAUAUCAUUUGCCUAGUGAUCGAAGGGGCUCAAAAUUAAUAAUUUUAAUGGCCGUAGUGAGCCGUUUGCAAGUUUAACGGUGUAGAAAUAUCCAAAUCACGUGAAAUUUUGAUAAAAAAAUUUUUAUACUAUAUAAAACAAGAUCAAUACGUUUGAUCUAAAAUUUUAAUGUCAUAUUAUCACGUUUUGUAAGGUUUUUAUUUUCAGCCGUUGAUUUUGAGCCCCUUCGUUCACUAGGCAAAUAAUAUCGAAAAAUCGCAUAAUUUAUUUUCUAGGUACUUCAAAUACUCUAGAUCAAAUUUAAUGGAGCCGAUUGACGAUUCGAAAGUCGCAACAUGAAAAAUGACCUGAAAGCAUGGAAGGCUCCGUACUUUCAGAAGCAUAGUAGCCUCACUCUAUAUAUAUUGUUCAGCUACUAUACUUUUGUAACUACACACCCCAUUGUACUCAUAAGUUUUUGAAUU